ACAAACUGGUUUUUCUUCUCACGAUUAUUAGAAAGUGAAAAAAAAAAACAAAAAAAAAAACCUCCCAAUGCUGUCUGUCUGUCCCCCAACAUCGACUGAUCAAUUCAGGGAGAAGCAGCCUGUUGUGCAUUCUGUUUAAUUGCUGAGCAGAUCCACACCCUGGGUUUGCCACUUGCUUUCCUGGCCAGGUUGCUGUCCAUUUCCUAGCAGGUUAAAUGUGCAAAAGCCCAGAAGCGAUCUUAAGUAAGAGUCCGGAAUAAAAGGAGACAAACUCACAGAUUUGGAGACAAGGAGUUUGGCUGUCACAGUGCUUUGCUUUGAGACCAUUCAGAAUGAGGAUCCAGGUCUGGAGUGAUCCUUGCCAUUCCGUUCUUCACCUGCCAAUGGGAUUGCAAACAGCUUGAACCUACAAACUGUCCAACUUGGUUUAUAUUCCUCUGAGGUCUUCUUUAACCUUCCAUAAUUUGCCAGAAUUUCACAAUUAUAAACUUAGGACUGGAGGCUGAGGAGAUGCUUGAGCCAAGGUCGGAAAGCCUAGGCUUCCCCCUGCCCCCAAGACCCAGUGUUGGCAGGUGGGAACUGACUCCUCCUCCACGUCAUCCUCUGACCCCCACGUGGGCACCGUGAUGUGAGCACCCACAACAGAAACACAAUAGCACAAUUUAAUAAAGGAGUGCAAUAAAAUAAUUUUAAACUUUGUGCUAUAUUUGGUUCUGAUUUUACACCAUUCUAAGGAUUGGCGCAGGCCAUGGUAAUCUGCAGGGUAAAG
Mus pahari (shrew mouse) is the source of this 769-nucleotide long non-coding RNA. RefSeq lists it as uncharacterized. The record is from RefSeq and is a predicted model, not a curated record. Lineage: Eukaryota; Metazoa; Chordata; Mammalia; Rodentia; Muridae. The transcript is spliced from 3 exons.